Molecule: ribosomal RNA, 292 nt
Filed under: uncultured prokaryote
Description: partial 16S ribosomal RNA
Rfam family: Bacterial small subunit ribosomal RNA
Source: RNAcentral
GUGCCAGCCGCCGCGGUAAUACGUAGGGCGCAAGCGUUAUCCGGAUUUAUUGGGCGUAAAGAGCUCGUAGGCGGUUUGUCGCGUCUGCCGUGAAAGACCAGGGCUCAACCCUGGUUCUGCGGUGGGUACGGGCAGACUAGAGUGAUGUAGGGGAGACUGGAAUUCCUGGUGUAGCGGUGAAAUGCGCAGAUAUCAGGAGGAACACCGAUGGCGAAGGCAGGUCUCUGGGCAUUUACUGACGCUGAGGAGCGAAAGCAUGGGGAGCGAACAGGAUUAGAUACCCCCGUAGUCC